CUCGAAGAUUGGUGAGUGGAGUCAGGGACACAGGAUGAGUCCUGGGUUUACUGACCAGAACCUGGAACGAUCUUGCAUUUCCUCCUCCCGUUGUCCUCCAGGCAAGCAGCUGACCUACACCUACCCCUUGGUCUAUAACUACCAGCUGGAAGGGAUCUUUGCCCAGGAAUUCCCCGACUUGGAGAAUGUGGUCAAGGGCCACCACGUUAGCCGAGAACCCUGGAAGAGCAGCAUCACACUCACAUCCCAGGCCGGGGCUGUUUUCCAGAGCUUUGCCAAGUUCAGCAAAUUUGGAGAUGACCUGUACUCCGGCUGGUUGGCGGCAGCCCUUGGUGCCAACCUGCAGGUCCAGUUCUGGCACAAAACUGUAGGCAUCCUGCCCUCCAACUGCUCGGAUAUCUGGCAGGUUCUGAAUGUGAACCAGAUAGCUUUCCCUGGACCAGCCGGCCCAAGCUUCAACAGCACAGAGGACCACUCCAAAUGGUGCGUGUCCCCAGAAGGGCCCUGGACCUGUGUGGGUGACAUGAAUCGGAACCAGGGAGAGGAGCAACGGGGUGGGGGCACACUGUGUGCCCAGCUGCCAGCCCUCUGGAAGGCCUUCCAGCCGCUGGUGAAGAACUACCAGCCCUGUAAUGGCAUGGCCAGGAAGCCCAGCAGAGCUUAUAAGAUCUAACCCUUAUGGCCAGGUGCAGUGGCUCACGUAUGUAAUGCCAGCACUUUGGGAAGC
This 727-nucleotide small RNA is filed under the name Pongo abelii (Sumatran orangutan). RNAcentral's name for it is "retained intron". The record is from RNAcentral. Lineage: Eukaryota; Metazoa; Chordata; Mammalia; Primates; Hominidae.